ACGUACACUCCUGCGGGAGGCAGCAGUGGGGAAUAUUGGACAAUGGGCGCAAGCCUGAUCCAGCCAUGCCGCGUGAGUGAUGAAGGCCCUAGGGUUGUAAAGCUCUUUCACCGGUGAAGAUAAUGACGGUAACCGGAGAAGAAGCCCCGGCUAACUUCGUGCCAGCAGCCGCGGUAAUACGAAGGGGGCUAGCGUUGUUCGGAUUUACUGGGCGUAAAGCGCACGUAGGCGGACUAUUAAGUCAGGGGUGAAAUCCCGGGGCUCAACCCCGGAACUGCCUUUGAUACUGGUAGUCUUGAGUUCGAGAGAGGUGAGUGGAAUUCCGAGUGUAGAGGUGAAAUUCGUAGAUAUUCGGAGGAACACCAGUGGCGAAGGCGGCUCACUGGCUCGAUACUGACGCUGAGGUGCGAAAGCGUGGGGAGCAAACAGGAUUAGAUACCCCUGUAGUCCCAU
Molecule: ribosomal RNA, 453 nt
Filed under: uncultured organism
Description: partial 16S ribosomal RNA
Rfam family: Bacterial small subunit ribosomal RNA
Source: RNAcentral